Molecule: ribosomal RNA, 492 nt
Filed under: uncultured bacterium
Lineage: Bacteria
Description: partial 16S ribosomal RNA
Rfam family: Bacterial small subunit ribosomal RNA
Source: RNAcentral
AGUGAACGCUGGCGGUAGGCCUAACACAUGCAAGUCGAACGGCAGCACAGUAAGAGCUUGCUCUUACGGGUGGCGAGUGGCGGACGGGUGAGGAAUACAUCGGAAUCUACUUUUUCGUGGGGGAUAACGUAGGGAAACUUACGCUAAUACCGCAUACGACCUACGGGUGAAAGCAGGGGAUCUUCGGACCUUGCGCGAUUGAAUGAGCCGAUGCCGGAUUAGCUAGUUGGCGGGGUAAAGGCCCACCAAGGCGACGAUCCGUAGCUGGUCUGAGAGGAUGGUCAGCCACACUGGAAGUGAGACACGGUCCAGACUCCUACGGGAGGCAGCAGUGGGGAAUAUUGGACAAUGGGCGCAAGCCUGAUCCAGCCAUACCGCGUGGGUGAAGAAGGCCUUCGGGUUGUAAAGCCCUUUUGUUGGGAAAGAAAAGCAGCAGGUUAAUACCCCGCUGUUCUGACGGUACCCAAAGAAUAAGCACCGGCUAACUUCGUG